UACGUAGGGUGCGAGCGUUAAUCGGAAUUACUGGGCGUAAAGCGUGCGCAGGCGGUUUGUUAAGACAGGUGUGAAAUCCCCGGGCUUAACCUGGGAAUGGCGCUUGUGACUGGCAGGCUAGAGUGUGUCAGAGGGAGGUAGAAUUCCACGUGUAGCAGUGAAAUGCGUAGAGAUGUGGAGGAAUACCGAUGGCGAAGGCAGCCUCCUGGGAUAACACUGACGCUCAUGCACGAAAGCGUGGGGAG
RNAcentral lists this ribosomal RNA (245 nucleotides) under uncultured Burkholderia sp. RNAcentral's name for it is "partial 16S ribosomal RNA". It matches the Rfam family "Bacterial small subunit ribosomal RNA", at positions 524 to 768 of the family's 1533-position model. The record is from RNAcentral. Lineage: Bacteria; Pseudomonadati; Pseudomonadota; Betaproteobacteria; Burkholderiales; Burkholderiaceae.